UACGAAGGGGGCUAGCGUUGUUCGGAGUUACUGGGCGUAAAGGGCGCGUAGGCGGCGCAUCAAGUCAGGCGUGAAAGCCCUGGGCUCAACCCCGUGUCAGCCAUGGAUACUGGGAGGCUGGAGACAGGUAGAGGCAAGCGGAAUUCCGGGUGUAGCGGUGGAAUGCGUAGAGAUCCGGAAGAACACCGGAGGCGAAGGCGGCUUGCUGGACCUGGUCUGACGCUGAGGCGCGAAAGCGUGGGGAGCGAACAGG
Molecule: ribosomal RNA, 253 nt
Filed under: uncultured bacterium
Lineage: Bacteria
Description: partial 16S ribosomal RNA
Rfam family: Bacterial small subunit ribosomal RNA
Source: RNAcentral